AAAGAUGAAUAGACAACAAUAAGGACAACAGAUCAGAUGACAGAAUACCCCAUAGAAUAUGACAAUACAAAACAGAGAAAAACCGACAGGACAACAGAUUAAGAUGACAUCAACAGACAACAUGUACGUCAACAAUGCUGAUUUUCCUGAACAUGCGGGCAAUGAGAGUAGACGAAGACAAAUGUGAAGUACAAAGCAGAAAGCAGGCAUGGGAAUUUUGGCACAAAUUGAACCCCAUAGCCACCUGUUCUCGUCUACAUUGCAGUCAAGGAGAGGCACACCUCAAACCAGUUGUAAACAGUGAUUUAGAAACAGCCCAUAUAUGAGAAGUGGUAUAUAUUGAGUCGUCUGAGUGAGAAACGGUUUCCAUCCGUGAGGCAUUGUGAAGUGCGGGGUAAAGUUAUUGGCAAAGAACUACCUCCUUGCUCACAAUAAAAGGUGGAAAAUAUCUCCUGACUCCUACUCCUUAAUCAGUGUGCUCAUCAAGCGUGAUUGUGUACUGAAGACCUACCUCAAUGAAGACUUGUAAAAGAGUAUGUGUGAAGACUGAAAGUGCAGUGGCUGAAUCUCAAAAUGCACACACAACAUUGGAGAUCUUUAUCAUUUGGGCUGAGGAUGCUGGUCCUGGGGACAGACCUACAUAUGUUGGUUUAGAAGUUCUGCAGAACCUACUGAGUGUCACAUAUGGAUUGGAUGGACUUUAUGGGUUCAUGUGCACUUAAAGGGUUUGUUUAACCAGAAAUGAAAACUUUUAAUUAUUUAUGUCCUACCAAACAUUGAUUUGUCUUCGAAGUACAAAUGAAGAUACUUCAGGUGAAAUCUGAGAGCUCUCUCAUUCUCUAUAGACAGCAAUGGUCCCAACUUGUUUAAAGUCCAGAGAAAUAGAAAUACCUAAAACAUCCUCAAAACAGACCACAUGUUUCACUUGUUCAAUCAGAAUAUUUUUAAGCUACAAGAAUAAUUUUGAGUGCAUAUGAAGCAAAAAAAAACAGCCUUUGAAUUUUUUUA
Danio aesculapii is the source of this 1008-nucleotide long non-coding RNA. RefSeq lists it as uncharacterized. The transcript has 3 exons. NCBI's taxonomy places the organism in Eukaryota, Metazoa, Chordata, Actinopteri, Cypriniformes, Danionidae. The record is from RefSeq and is a predicted model, not a curated record.